GAGUUUGAUCUUGGCUCAGAUUGAACGCUGGCGGCAUGCCUUACACAUGCAAGUCGAACGGCAGCACGGGAGCUUGCUCCUGGUGGCGAGUGGCGAACGGGUGAGUAAUGCAUCGGAACGUAUCCUGGAGUGGGGGAUAACGUAGCGAAAGUUACGCUAAUACCGCAUAUUCUGUGAGCAGGAAAGCGGGGGACCUUCGGGCCUCGCGCUCUUGGAGCGGCCGAUGUCGGAUUAGCUAGUUGGUGAGGUAAAGGCUCACCAAGGCGACGAUCCGUAGCAGGU
This 282-nucleotide ribosomal RNA is filed under the name bacterium enrichment culture clone ALO1_GLFRUDD03GX36J. Its description in RNAcentral is "partial 16S ribosomal RNA". It matches the Rfam family "Bacterial small subunit ribosomal RNA", at positions 9 to 291 of the family's 1533-position model. The record is from RNAcentral.